RNAcentral lists this ribosomal RNA (437 nucleotides) under uncultured bacterium. RNAcentral describes it as "partial 16S ribosomal RNA". It matches the Rfam family "Bacterial small subunit ribosomal RNA", at positions 29 to 507 of the family's 1533-position model. The record is from RNAcentral.
AGCGAACGCUGGCGGCAGGCUUAACACAUGCAAGUCGAGCGGGCAUCCUUGUGGUGUCAGCGGCAGACGGGUGAGUAACGCGUGGGAACGUGCCCUUCGGUUCGGAAUAACUCAGGGAAACUUGAGCUAAUACCGGAUACGUGCGAGAGCAGAAAGGUUUAUCUGCCGAAGGAUCGGCCCGCGUCUGAUUAGCUAGUUGGUGAGGUUACGGCUCACCAAGGCGACGAUCAGUAGCUGGUCUGAGAGGAUGAUCAGCCACACUGGGACUGAGACACGGCCCAGACUCCUACGGGAGGCAGCAGUGGGGAAUAUUGGACAAUGGGGGCAACCCUGAUCCAGCCAUGCCGCGUGAGUGAUGACGGCCCUAGGGUUGUAAAGCUCUUUUCUCCGGGACGAUAAUGACGGUACCGGAGGAAUAAGCCCCGGCUAACUUCGUG